UUAACAUUGAUUAAACUAAUUGAGUAUUCAUGGCUAGGCUACAUCAUAGCCCUAGCAAGAAGGAAUUAGUUCAUGACAACUUUAAUAAAAACCAUGAUAAACAGUGUCAUAGGAAAGAAAAAACCAAUUGAAGAUUUGAUCUUUGCACAACAGCGACUCUAGCUCCAAGUCGUCUUCUUUUAUCUCUCUAAAACUCUCUUUCGUGUCUUUUGGUCUGUGGUCUCCGAAAAAUAAAAAUAAUAGAACCCCCAACCUUAGGUUAAGGCUUAGUAUGUAUAGGUAAGAAGUAGAGGAAUAAUAGGAAAGCCCAAAAAGAAAAAUCCAAACUGAAGAGGAAAAUACAAGUAGCUGGCGGCAAAGAGAGAGAAAGGAGUAUUUAGCAUUUGGAGAGAAUAAACUCAAUUAGAAAAGGAAAACAGGACUGAGACUUGUGGAGGUAAUCUUCUCCAACUCAAAGGAGGAAACCCAACUUUGGAGAAAAAUUGGUCACGCCAAUUCUUUCAUUUUGUUUGGACUUUAUUGUCCAAUCAGGAGCUCCCCUUUCAAUGUCCCAAAGGCUCCUUGAUCAGGAAAAGCAGAUAGAAGAUGAACUUGUUGAUGGGUUCCGCACUGUGGUGCCAUGGCAAUGCAACGAAUCUGAGGGUUGUCAAGAGGGCUUAUCUUGACUUUGUUGCCCAUGUGCUCUCUGUUCAGUCACUUCAACCUGCUUUUCUCUAUUGCAUUAUAUUGCUUUUCAACAAUCACUACAACUCCAAUUUACAUAUUAGAACUGGAUCUUGAUUCCAAUUACAAAGAAAUAGCCAAAUAGAAGAAUACUUCCUUCAACUCUCAGCCAAUCCAAUGCAGCCCACUGCUCAACCAAAAUUACCAGUUGCAAAUGACAUUAGUUUCCAAAAUUGAAGCUAGCUUGUUAUGCUUCAAUAGCUACUUCCAGUACCUUGCUUUCCAAGCUGCCUCUUCAGCUUCCCUAGCUUCCUCUUCAGCUUCAUCAGCUUUCCUAGAUGCCUCUUCAGCUUCUGCUGUGGCAGCUUCGGCCUCUGCAACUGCUCGAGCCAUAGCCACAGCAGCCUCCUGUUGGGCCAUGUUCCUUCUUAUGAUGAUCAUCUUCUUACGUUGUGGUCUAGAUUAAUAGUCUAACAACAUAAGCAUUUAUUUCAUAGCAUAAUAUAUAUAUAAAUUUGUAUUCUUUCAUGCAAUGUCAUCCUAUGCAUGUUAGGAAAAGGAAAAAAAGCACUAAGAAGAAAAUAAAUUAAUUAUAACAUCUUCCUAAA
This is a long non-coding RNA of Prunus persica (peach), 1271 nucleotides long. RefSeq lists it as uncharacterized. The transcript is spliced from 3 exons. The record is from RefSeq and is a predicted model, not a curated record. Lineage: Eukaryota; Viridiplantae; Streptophyta; Magnoliopsida; Rosales; Rosaceae.